GGGGCCGUGGGGUAGCCUGGCAUCCUACCAGCUUCGGGAGCUGGUGACCUGAGUCCGAAUCUCAGCGGCCCCA
This 73-nucleotide transfer RNA is filed under the name Candidatus Micrarchaeota archaeon CG08_land_8_20_14_0_20_59_11. RNAcentral describes it as "tRNA-Pro". It matches the Rfam family "tRNA". Rfam says of the family: Transfer RNA (tRNA) molecules are approximately 80 nucleotides in length. Their secondary structure includes four short double-helical elements and three loops (D, anti-codon, and T loops). The record is from RNAcentral. RNAcentral also lists the same sequence under 2 other names. Lineage: Archaea; Nanobdellati; Microcaldota.